RNAcentral lists this ribosomal RNA (463 nucleotides) under uncultured bacterium. RNAcentral's name for it is "partial 16S ribosomal RNA". It matches the Rfam family "Bacterial small subunit ribosomal RNA", at positions 28 to 507 of the family's 1533-position model. The record is from RNAcentral.
GAUGAACGCUGACAGAAUGCUUAACACAUGCAAGUCUUUGGCGAAGCUGUGCUUGCACAGCCUAGCCAAGGCGGACGGGUGAGUAACGCGUAAGGAACUUGCCCCGCAGUCAGGGAUAACAGACGGAAACGACUGAUAAGACCUGGUAAAGUCAGGCGGACUCAUGUCCAGCCUGAUGAAAAGUGAUGCUGCAGGAGAGCCUUGCGUCCUAUUAGCUUGUUGGUGGGGUAACGGCCCACCAAGGCGAUGAUAGGUAGCCGGCCUGAGAGGGUGGACGGCCACAAGGGGACUGAGAUACGGCCCUUACUCCUACGGGAGGCAGCAGUGGGGAAUAUUGGACAAUGGGGGCAACCCUGAUCCAGCAAUUCUGUGUGCACGAUGAAGGUUUUCGGAUUGUAAAGUGCUUUCAGCAGGGAAGAAAAAAAUGACGGUACCUGCAGAAGAGGCGACGGCUAAAUACGUG